CCUACGGGAGACAGCAGUGAGGAAUAUUGGUCAAUGGGCGGGAGCCUGAACCAGCCAAGUCGCGUGAGGGAAGACGGUCCUAUGGAUUGUAAACCUCUUUAGGCGGGGAGCAAUGCCGGGCACGCGUGCCCGGAGGGAGAGUACCCGCAGAAUAAGCAUCGGCUAACUCCGUGCCAGCAGACGCGGUAAUACGGAGGAUGCGAGCGUUAUCCGGAUUUAGUGGGUUUAAAGGGUGCGUAGGCGGAUUUUUAAGUCAGCGGUAAAAUGUCCGGGCUCAACCCGGGCCGGCCGUUGAAACUGGGGAUCUUGAGUGGGCGAGAAGUAUGCGGAAUGCGUGGUGUAGCGGUGAAAUGCAUAGAUAUCACGCAGAACUCCGAUUGCGAAGGCAGCAUACCGGCGCCCGACUGACGCUGAGGCACGAAAGCGUGGGGAUCGAACAGGAUUAGAUACCCGUGUAGUC
This 460-nucleotide ribosomal RNA is filed under the name uncultured bacterium. RNAcentral's name for it is "partial 16S ribosomal RNA". It matches the Rfam family "Bacterial small subunit ribosomal RNA", at positions 338 to 795 of the family's 1533-position model. The record is from RNAcentral.